Molecule: non-coding RNA, 3377 nt
Organism: Aegilops tauschii subsp. strangulata
Lineage: Eukaryota; Viridiplantae; Streptophyta; Magnoliopsida; Poales; Poaceae
Source: RefSeq, a predicted model, not a curated record
CUUCCUUCAAAAAAGGACUCUUCUUCAACCCGUCCUCCGGACUCGAGGAAUCCUCCUCCACGAUGGCAACUCCUCCGCCCUCCUCCUAUAAGAACCUCCUCCUCGCGCGAGCCACCUGAUUUGUUGAGAUCGUGGUAACACGCAAGUGCGGCGCGGAGCUCGCUCAAGGUCGAUGCGCCCCGUGGUGGUGGCGUUCGAGGCGGGUCGGCCCGAGGUUCAACAAUUUCUCGAUCUCCGGGGUUCAACAAUUUCUUGCCGGAUCCGCUCGUCGGCAUCCGUGGACUGCAUGAGCCGGAUGUCUCCUGUGCCCUAGCAGUGGUCACUCGAUCUCCCUCUCCCGAACGACCCCGGUACCCUCCCCAUCUGCUCUGUUAUUCUCAGACCUCGGCUGCGGCGUGGCUGCUAUCAGAACUUCUUCCUCAUAUCACGAUUUCAUGCACUACGCAUCCUGCUUGCCCAUAGCAACAGUAACACCAUCACCUUCGAUUGGAAUUACCUUAUUAGUGAAUUUGGUUUGAUUGGAAUUACCUUGUUUGUGCAAUUUGGUCAAGCGUGUUCACAUAUGAUGCCACUGAGCCUGGGAAUGAGGUGGAUUGAUCCUGCCUAGGCACUAGCUCCUGUGAUUAGAUGGAAAUCAGAGUGUAUGAUUUAUUCUUACAGAAAACUUUUCAUGCAAACUGGAUGUCCUCAUGUGUCCUUUCAGUACCAUGAUUGCAAUUCAUUUCAGCAAACUAUGUAAGGGCCAAAAACAGACAUGCUGCUGCAGAUGUACUACUUCUUCAGUUACAUGAAUAGAUAGAGCUAAAAAUAGAUUCUAUAACUGAUUUUUGAGUGUGGCACUGUCAAUUUCAAUAAAUCUGCACUACAAGCUAAAGGUGUGCUAUCUAAUACAGAUCAAUGAACAGAUCUUGCUGUGUUGUGAUGAACAGAUCCUUCAAAGUACCAGUUGUAAUGCAGCAGCAGGCCAUAUAUUGGUACAAAGAAACCAUAUAAACUGGAUUCAGUCACAAAAAAGAUCAUGUCCAUAUAAGUUCUCUUAUCUCUUGGUGUGGAUUUUCUUAGGAACUUACUUGGUGUGAAAUUAUGUUCCUGCUUUAAUAGCCAAAUCAAUAUCAACAGCUAUAUAUUCCAGUAUUUACUCCUUUCCACUUCUGUUCUACUAAUGUGUGCCUACUUUUUGUACAAUGCUCUUAACUGAAAUUGGUUGGUCAUGCAGACAGUAGGUGCAUGAGCCCAUGGCCGGUUGCGCCAGCGAUGGGGUUGGAGUGCAUAAUAGUGACAUCAACCUGAAUGCUGGCUGUUAAGCAUCUUCUUUGACGUCCAUACUACCACAUAUCUUAUUUAGUUUGACCUUCUGUGAGGAUGAGGGCUUCGUGUCUCACAUGAUAGUGUUCUCUCCCAAUCUUACGAGGCUACCACAAUCAUAAGGCAUCAUGUUCAUUAGGGAAAUAAAGGUUCAGGAAAAGAAGAUGGUUUGGGGAAACACAAAUAUGCUGGGGGCAUAGUAAAGCUGCAAUUCUAAAUGCAUGGACAAUAUCUCCUGCAGUUUUGAUUCAUUUUUAUUCAGGUAACUGCUCCAGGUGAGAAUGAUAUGCUGCUGGUCAUGCCAAAGGUUGUGAUACAUUUUCUUAUGAUAGUAUGAAUUGAUUGAUGAUGCAUCACAAGUAGCACAAGUUCUGCAAUAUCCAUUUCAGUAAGAAGUUUGCAUUGAGUAAUUCUUUUCAAGAAGAAGCGCUUACCAUGCACAACUAGCUAGCGAAUACUUCAUUCUUCGGUGGAAGACAUAGCAUAUAAUUACCUUGAGCACAUCAAUACAAGAUUUUCUAGCAUCAAGUAUUGUUCAUGGUUCACUCAUAAUGUGUGUUCUGUCCACUUUUCAACUUAAUUUUAUUAAGAUUUCUGGUUAUCACUGCAGGAGUUGCACUAGAGUCAAUGAGGGUAGUCUGCAUUGCAGACUGUGUUAACUAUUCUAGAUUUUAUCAACAUUAAAUUGUGCAUUGCCAUUGCCAUUUCCAUUUCUUGCAUCACCUACCUUGAAGUUGAGAGGAUUGAUUUUUUCUGUAAUUGUUCAAUUGGAAGUAAAAAAUUAACUCUGCAUGCUUACAUGAAGCUAGAUUCCUGAAAAAUAGUUGUUUUCGCACAGUAUAUCAGUAUUUUGUUUCCCGAUCUAAAAAAGAUGUGUCUUAGCCUGACACAAGAGUUUGGCUAAUCUGCAGUAUGACUCAUUAGUAGUAUUUUCUUAGACAUGUUGAAUCAUUCCUCUAUCCCAGUAUUCAAAAUUUACAUAUUGUGAUAUUGUCACAACUGUCAAGUGUAGGUUCUACAACCAAGCAGAAGUUGUCACCAAAGGUCAAGAUGGAAAUAGGUAAAACCGGUAUUUACAUGUUACACAUCCGCAGCUGUAGGAUGAACUGCCAUGGACUCCUGACCAACUAUCCCACACAUACGACUCUUUAAAAGGAUGUUCUUCCUCUAUCUCUCCAUGUCGUGUUUUAUUCCAUCCCAGACUUCAUGGUUCCAUCCGUACUGGAUUCCCAAUAAGGAGAACGUGAUUCGGUCCAUCUAUGCCUUCCCCUUAUCAUAUUCAAGGUUUUGCAUUACAGGAUGAUUGAUGCGUCCGAUGAGGAUCCACAAUAAUGUGAAGUAAGGAGGCGACAUCGGUAGUUGAGGCUGUCAAGUGGAGGAAUAUGUUGGAUUGGUGGUGGCACGCAAAUCACACUCUAAAUCCAAUUGGAGUUCAUCUAUUCUACCAUCGCCCCACGCCGUCGCACUUCUCCUUACCAGAUUACACGAUGGAGGGAGGGGGGAACCAGCUGGGGCGGUCUGCAGUCUGCAAAGUCUAAAGUUGAACCCUGCACGGACAUCUCGCCGAUGCCGACAAUAUUUGGUUUGGUUUCAGUGAGCACGUGCUUGAACGCCUCAAAUUUUCUUGAUAUGUCCCUACAGUUAAGGCUGGCUCCUUGACGCUCCUGCAGGCUGCCAGGAAGGACCUAUUCAAUUGUGUUGGUUGUUGUGUUCGUUCUAAUGGGAUACAAGUCACAUGGCGUGAUGGACAUCAGGUGUGCAGAAAUAUGUUUGUGCUUUGAUAGUUUCCUGAUAUGCGCACAUGUGUUUUUAAUACUUCCCCUUGGAUUAUAGGAAUUAGACUUGUGAUGGAAAUCAGACAGGCAGAAAUAUGUUUGCUGUAAAUAGAGUAUAAGAGCUCCUAUGAAUUAAUAUGUUAGAAGUUCAAUGAUCGAUCUCAUCUUAUUAGUAACUGAGUUAAGCAACAGGCAUAUGUACUAUCAGUUUUUAUGUCUGACGCUCUUGCCUUCCAUACGUACUGAAUUAACAAAAUUCCUAUGUUCAGGAGGCGAUGCAGCGCUGGAAAAAACUCA